RNAcentral lists this ribosomal RNA (253 nucleotides) under uncultured bacterium. RNAcentral's name for it is "partial 16S ribosomal RNA". It matches the Rfam family "Bacterial small subunit ribosomal RNA", at positions 524 to 776 of the family's 1533-position model. The record is from RNAcentral.
UACGUAGGGGGCAAGCGUUGUCCGGAAUCAUUGGGCGUAAAGAGCGUGUAGGCGGCCCGAUAAGUCCGCCGUGAAAGUCCAGGGCUCAACCCUGGAAUGCCGGUGGAAACUGUCGGGCUGGAGUCCGGAAGAGGCGAGUGGAAUUCCUGGUGUAGCGGUGAAAUGCGCAGAUAUCAGGAGGAACACCAAUGGCGAAGGCAGCUCGCUGGGACGGUACUGACGCUGAGACGCGAAAGCGUGGGGAGCGAUCCGG